UGUGGUACAGCUCAGUGGUAGAGCACUUGUCUAGAGCGUGAGUGAGACCCUGGGUUCAAUCCCCAGUACUGCUA
Molecule: transfer RNA, 74 nt
Filed under: Cavia porcellus (domestic guinea pig)
Lineage: Eukaryota; Metazoa; Chordata; Mammalia; Rodentia; Caviidae
Rfam family: tRNA
About the family: Transfer RNA (tRNA) molecules are approximately 80 nucleotides in length. Their secondary structure includes four short double-helical elements and three loops (D, anti-codon, and T loops). Further hydrogen bonds mediate the characteristic L-shaped molecular structure. tRNAs have two regions of fundamental functional importance: the anti-codon, which is responsible for specific mRNA codon recognition, and the 3' end, to which the tRNAs corresponding amino acid is attached (by aminoacyl-tRNA synthetases). tRNAs cope with the degeneracy of the genetic code in two manners: having more than one tRNA (with a specific anti-codon) for a particular amino acid; and 'wobble' base-pairing, i.e. permitting non-standard base-pairing at the 3rd anti-codon position.
Source: Rfam by way of RNAcentral